AUGCAUUUUCCUCUUCUCCUCCUUGCAUUUCUGUCUUCCUUCCUUGCAUCUUCUCUUUUCCUCCUCGCAUUUCCAUCGUCCCUCCAUGCAUUUUCCCUUCUCCUCCUUACAUUUCUAUCUUCCCUCCUCGCAUUUUCCCUUCUUCUCCUUGCAUUUUCCCUUCUCCUCCUUACAUUUCUAUCUUCCCUCCUCGCAUUUUCCCUUCUUCUCCUUGCAUUUUCCCUUCUCCUCCUUGCAUUUCUAUCUUCCCUCCUUGCCUUUCCGUCUCCCCUCCUUGCAUUUCCAUCUCCCCUCCUUCCCUUCUCCGCUUGCCUUUCCAUCUUCCCUUCCUCUCCCUGCAUUCCCUUCUUGCCUUUCCCCCUCGCUACGCUGCCCUCCCCUCCUUGCAUUUUCACCUUGCCUCCCCCCCGCCAGCAGCCCGCCGAGGGCGAGACAACUUCCAGGAGCCGCAGCGCCCGCUGCCUCCCUCUGCUCCGCUCCCCUCCGCGCACACACACACCGCGCACACACCGCGCCCCGCGCACAGGUACCUCUCCACAGCGCGCCCGCUCCGCCGGCGCCCAGCGUGCGCCGCCAGCUCCGCGCGCAGCCCCGGCACGUCGGGUCCCCCUUCCUCCUCCUCCUCCUCCUCCUCCUCCUCCUCCCCUUUCUCCUCCCUGCCCGCCCCCUUCGCCGACGCGAGGAAGAGGGGGGCAAAGCCACCCCGCCCGCCCCGCCCCGUCCGUCCCGUCCCGUCGUGUCCCGUCCGUCCCGUGCCGCCGGGGCGCUGCGCCCUGCGCGGAGGCUCCGCGGGGCCCGGCGGGACGUGCCGCCCUCGGCCCCCCCCCGGCCCGGCGCGGUCGGGUUACCGCAGCCUGCCUGCCUGCCUGCCUGCCUGCCUGCCUGCAAGCCCUCUCCUGUUACGGCCGGCCGGGCCGGGCUGCAGGUGCCGUCGGGGGGGGGGUGCGAGCCCCGCCGUGGGGCCGGGCCUGCCCCCCGUCGCGGCGGGAGCUCCCCGUGGUGCUCGCCCGGCCUCCUGCUGCGCGCGGUCCUGGGGGUUUCCUCAGCUGGAUGUCUGGGGCUUGGGGCUGGGGUUCUGUUUCUACCUAUUUAUCUAUUUUGCCUGUGCGGUUUGGCUUCUUCAGUGUCCUCUUGAAUCCACGUGCACUUGCAGCGUCCACAGUAGGCUUGGCCAAGGAUUCCCACAGGUCUGCCACCACUCUCAUGAAGAACCUCUGCCUUUUGUUUGUUCUGAAUACUUUAUUAUCCUCUCACCUCUUGUACUGGAGAUAA
This 1272-nucleotide long non-coding RNA is filed under the name Apteryx haastii (Great spotted kiwi). Its description in RNAcentral is "lncRNA (ENSAHAG00000009187.1)". The record is from RNAcentral. Lineage: Eukaryota; Metazoa; Chordata; Aves; Apterygiformes; Apterygidae.